UGACGCUGGCGGCGUGCCUAACACAUGCAAGUCGAACGGGGUUAAGGUGAUGUUUCGGAUGGAUCUUAACGUUAGUGGCGGACGGGUGAGUAACGCGUGGAUAACCUGCCUCACACAGGGGGAUAGCAGCUGGAAACGGCUGGUAAUACCGCAUAGGACCACGGUGCCGCAUGGCACAGGGGUAAAAGAUUUAUCGGUGUGAGAUGGAUCCGCGUCUGAUUAGCCAGUUGGCCGGGGUAACGGCCCAACCAAAGCGACGAUCAGUAGCCGGCCUGAGAGGGUGAACGGCCACAUUGGGACUGAGACACGGCCCAAACUCCUACGGGAGGCAGCAGUGGGAAUAUUGCACAAUGGGCGCAAGCCUGAUGCAGCAACGCCGCGUGAGUGAAGAAGUAUUUCGGUAUGUAAAGCUCUAUCGGCAGGGAAGAAAGGCCCGCAAGGGAGAUGACGGUACCUGACUAAGAAGCCCCGGCUAACUACGUGCCAGCCGCUGC
RNAcentral lists this ribosomal RNA (494 nucleotides) under uncultured bacterium. RNAcentral describes it as "bacterial SSU rRNA". It matches the Rfam family "Bacterial small subunit ribosomal RNA", at positions 33 to 518 of the family's 1533-position model. The record is from RNAcentral.